CGGAGGGGCUAGCGUUGUUCGGAAUUACUGGGGCGUAAAGCGCACGUAGGCGGACUGGAAAGUUGGGGUGAAGUACCGGGGCCGUCAACCUCGGAACUGCCUUCAAAACUAAUCAGUCUGGAGGUUCGAGAGAGGUGAGUGGAAUUCCGAGUGUAGAGGUGAAAUUCGUAGAUAAUUCGGAGGAACACCAGUGGCGGAAGGCGGCUCACUGGCUCGAUACUGACGCUGAGGUGCGAAAAGCGUGGGGAGCAAACAGGAUU
Molecule: ribosomal RNA, 260 nt
Filed under: uncultured bacterium
Lineage: Bacteria
Description: partial 16S ribosomal RNA
Rfam family: Bacterial small subunit ribosomal RNA
Source: RNAcentral